This 253-nucleotide ribosomal RNA is filed under the name uncultured bacterium. RNAcentral describes it as "partial 16S ribosomal RNA". It matches the Rfam family "Bacterial small subunit ribosomal RNA", at positions 524 to 776 of the family's 1533-position model. The record is from RNAcentral.
UACAGAGGUCCCGAGCGUUGUUCGGAUUCAUUGGGCGUAAAGGGUGCGUAGGCGGCGGGGCAAGUCUGAUGUGAAAUCCCGGGGCUCAACCCCGGAACUGCAUUGGAUACUGCCUUGCUCGAGUACUGGAGAGGGAACUGGAAUUUACGGUGUAGCAGUGAAAUGCGUAGAUAUCGUAAGGAAGGCCAGUGGCGAAGGCGAGUUCCUGGACAGUUACUGACGCUGAGGCACGAAGGCCAGGGGAGCAAACAGG